This 1695-nucleotide ribosomal RNA is filed under the name Salmonella enterica. RNAcentral describes it as "partial 23S ribosomal RNA". It matches the Rfam family "Bacterial large subunit ribosomal RNA", at positions 1252 to 2925 of the family's 2925-position model. RNAcentral also lists the same sequence under 22 other names. Lineage: Bacteria; Pseudomonadati; Pseudomonadota; Gammaproteobacteria; Enterobacterales; Enterobacteriaceae. The record is from RNAcentral.
GAAGGUGGCCUGUGAGGGUUGCUGGAGGUAUCAGAAGUGCGAAUGCUGACAUAAGUAACGAUAAAGCGGGUGAAAAGCCCGCUCGCCGGAAGACCAAGGGUUCCUGUCCAACGUUAAUCGGGGCAGGGUGAGUCGACCCCUAAGGCGAGGCCGAAAGGCGUAGUCGAUGGGAAACGGGUUAAUAUUCCCGUACUUGGUGUUACUGCGAAGGGGGGACGGAGAAGGCUAUGUUGGCCGGGCGACGGUUGUCCCGGUUUAAGCGUGUAGGUGUGUGUUCCAGGUAAAUCCGGUUCACUUUAACACUGAGGCGUGACGACGAGGCACUACGGUGCUGAAGCAACAAAUGCCCUGCUUCCAGGAAAAGCCUCUAAGCAUCAGGUAACAUCAAAUCGUACCCCAAACCGACACAGGUGGUCAGGUAGAGAAUACCAAGGCGCUUGAGAGAACUCGGGUGAAGGAACUAGGCAAAAUGGUGCCGUAACUUCGGGAGAAGGCACGCUGACACGUAGGUGAAGUGAUUUACUCACGGAGCUGAAGUCAGUCGAAGAUACCAGCUGGCUGCAACUGUUUAUUAAAAACACAGCACUGUGCAAACACGAAAGUGGACGUAUACGGUGUGACGCCUGCCCGGUGCCGGAAGGUUAAUUGAUGGGGUCAGCGCAAGCGAAGCUCCUGAUCGAAGCCCCGGUAAACGGCGGCCGUAACUAUAACGGUCCUAAGGUAGCGAAAUUCCUUGUCGGGUAAGUUCCGACCUGCACGAAUGGCGUAAUGAUGGCCAGGCUGUCUCCACCCGAGACUCAGUGAAAUUGAACUCGCUGUGAAGAUGCAGUGUACCCGCGGCAAGACGGAAAGACCCCGUGAACCUUUACUAUAGCUUGACACUGAACAUUGAGCCUUGAUGUGUAGGAUAGGUGGGAGGCUUUGAAGUGUGGACGCCAGUCUGCAUGGAGCCGACCUUGAAAUACCACCCUUUAAUGUUUGAUGUUCUAACGUGGACCCGUAAUCCGGGUUGCGGACAGUGUCUGGUGGGUAGUUUGACUGGGGCGGUCUCCUCCUAAAGAGUAACGGAGGAGCACGAAGGUUGGCUAAUCCUGGUCGGACAUCAGGAGGUUAGUGCAAUGGCAUAAGCCAGCUUGACUGCGAGCGUGACGGCGCGAGCAGGUGCGAAAGCAGGUCAUAGUGAUCCGGUGGUUCUGAAUGGAAGGGCCAUCGCUCAACGGAUAAAAGGUACUCCGGGGAUAACAGGCUGAUACCGCCCAAGAGUUCAUAUCGACGGCGGUGUUUGGCACCUCGAUGUCGGCUCAUCACAUCCUGGGGCUGAAGUAGGUCCCAAGGGUAUGGCUGUUCGCCAUUUAAAGUGGUACGCGAGCUGGGUUUAGAACGUCGUGAGACAGUUCGGUCCCUAUCUGCCGUGGGCGCUGGAGAACUGAGGGGGGCUGCUCCUAGUACGAGAGGACCGGAGUGGACGCAUCACUGGUGUUCGGGUUGUCAUGCCAAUGGCACUGCCCGGUAGCUAAAUGCGGAAGAGAUAAGUGCUGAAAGCAUCUAAGCACGAAACUUGCCCCGAGAUGAGUUCUCCCUGAGACUUUAGGUCUCCUGAAGGAACGUUGAAGACGACGACGUUGAUAGGCCGGGUGUGUAAGCGCAGCGAUGCGUUGAGCUAACCGGUACUAAUGAACCGUGAGGCUUAACCUU